CUGGGAACAGUAUGUCAAUAUAUAUAUGUUCCUGCUUUCUGUAACUGCUAGCAAGUCAGGAAACUGACUUUUCAUUGGUUGUCUAAUGUGAUAUAUACCUUCACGUAUUUUGUUAUUUUUAUAGCUUUGAGUAUAGAUAGUAAGGCAUAUAAUUAACAUUAUUAUGAUGAAAUAACAUUGAACAGCAACUAUUUUUAACGAUUUUUUCUUGUUCAAAUUGUAAAAACCUCUAUAGCUUCAGGGGAGCUGCGCCCCCUGACCCCCUGCCUCGGUAUAAACAGAAGGCAAGCUACGCCACUGUUUAU
This 305-nucleotide long non-coding RNA is filed under the name Mytilus galloprovincialis (Mediterranean mussel). The record is from RNAcentral. Lineage: Eukaryota; Metazoa; Mollusca; Bivalvia; Mytilida; Mytilidae.